Molecule: ribosomal RNA, 439 nt
Filed under: uncultured bacterium
Lineage: Bacteria
Description: partial 16S ribosomal RNA
Rfam family: Bacterial small subunit ribosomal RNA
Source: RNAcentral
CCUACGGGAGGCAGCAGUGGGGAAUAUUGCACAAUGGGCGAAAGCCUGAAGCAGCAACGCCGCGUGAGCGAUGAAGGCCUUCUGGUCUUAAAGCUCUUUCCUCAAGGAAGAUAAUGACGGUACUUGAUGAGGAAGCCCCGGCUAACUACGUGACAGCAGCCGCGGUACUACGUAGGGGGCUAGCGUUAUCCGGAAUUACUGGGCGUAAAGGGGGCGUAGGUGGUUUCUUAGGUCAGAGGUGAAAGGCUACGGCUCAACCGUAGUAAGCCUUUGAAACUGGGGAACUUGAGUGCAGGAGAGGAGAGUGGAAUUCCUAGUGUAGCGGUGAAAUGCGUAGAUAUUAGGAGGAACACCAGUUGCGAAGGCGGCUUUCUGGACUGUAACUGACACUGAGGCACGAAAGCGUGGGGAGCAAACAGGAUUAGAUACCCUGGUAGUC